Molecule: ribosomal RNA, 910 nt
Filed under: uncultured bacterium
Lineage: Bacteria
Description: bacterial SSU rRNA
Rfam family: Bacterial small subunit ribosomal RNA
Source: RNAcentral
ACGCUGGCGGCAGGCUUAACACAUGCAAGUCGAACGGUAGCAGGAGAAAGCUUGCUUUCUUGCUGACGAGUGGCGGACGGGUGAGUAAUGCUUGGGAAUCUGGCUUAUGGAGGGGGAUAACUACGGGAAACUGUAGCUAAUACCGCGUAGUGUCGAGAGACGAAAGUGCGGGACCGCAAGGCCGCAUGCCAUGAGAUGAGCCCAAGUGGGAUUAGGUAGUUGGUGGGGUAAGGGCCUACCAAGCCUGCGAUCUCUAGCUGGUCUGAGAGGAUGGCCAGCCACACUGGAACUGAGACACGGUCCAGACUCCUACGGGAGGCAGCAGUGGGGAAUAUUGCGCAAUGGGGGGAACCCUGACGCAGCCAUGCCGCGUGAAUGAAGAAGGCCUUCGGGUUGUAAAGUUCUUUCGGUAUUGAGGAAGGAGUGUAUGUUAAUAGCAUACAUUAUUGACGUUAAAUACAGAAGAAGCACCGGCUAACUCCGUGCCAGCAGCCGCGGUAAUACGGAGGGUGCGAGCGUUAAUCGGAAUAACUGGGCGUAAAGGGCACGCAGGCGGUUAUUUAAGUGAGGUGUGAAAGCCCCGGGCUUAACCUGGGAAUUGCAUUUCAGACUGGGUAACUAGAGUACUUUAGGGAGGGGUAGAAUUCCACAUGUAGCGGUGAAAUGCGUAGAGAUGUGGAGGAAUACCGAAGGCGAAGGCAGCCCCUUGGGAAUGUACUGACGCUCAUGUGCGAAAGCGUGGGGAGCAAACAGGAUUAGAUACCCUGGUAGUCCACGCUGUAAACGCUGUCGAUUUGGGGAUUGGGCUUAAAGCUUGGUGCCCGUAGCUAACGUGAUAAAUCGACCGCCUGGGGAGUACGGCCGCAAGGUUAAAACUCAAAUGAAUUGACGGGGGCCCGCACAAGCGGUG